RNAcentral lists this ribosomal RNA (939 nucleotides) under uncultured bacterium. Its description in RNAcentral is "bacterial SSU rRNA". It matches the Rfam family "Bacterial small subunit ribosomal RNA", at positions 57 to 993 of the family's 1533-position model. The record is from RNAcentral.
GCAAGUCGAGCGGUAACAGAUCCAGCUUGCUGGAUGCUGACGAGCGGCGGACGGGUGAGUAAUGCAUAGGAAUCUGCCCGAUAGUGGGGGAUAACCUGGGGAAACCCAGGCUAAUACCGCAUACGUCCUACGGGAGAAAGGGGGCUCCGGCUCCCGCUAUGGGAUGAGCCUAUGUCGGAUUAGCUAGUUGGUGAGGUAACGGCUCACCAAGGCCACGAUCCGUAGCUGGUCUGAGAGGAUGAUCAGCCACAUCGGGACUGAGACACGGCCCGAACUCCUACGGGAGGCAGCAGUGGGGAAUAUUGGACAAUGGGGGAAACCCUGAUCCAGCCAUGCCGCGUGUGUGAAGAAGGCCCUCGGGUUGUAAAGCACUUUCAGCGAGGAAGAACGCCUAGCGGUUAAUACCCGCUAGGAAAGACAUCACUCGCAGAAGAAGCACCGGCUAACUCCGUGCCAGCAGCCGCGGUAAUACGGAGGGUGCAAGCGUUAAUCGGAAUUACUGGGCGUAAAGCGCGCGUAGGUGGCUUGAUAAGCCGGUUGUGAAAGCCCCGGGCUCAACCUGGGAACGGCAUCCGGAACUGUCAAGCUAGAGUGCAGGAGAGGAAGGUAGAAUUCCCGGUGUAGCGGUGAAAUGCGUAGAGAUCGGGAGGAAUACCAGUGGCGAAGGCGGCCUUCUGGACUGACACUGACACUGAGGUGCGAAAGCGUGGGUAGCAAACAGGAUUAGAUACCCUGGUAGUCCACGCCGUAAACGAUGUCGACCAGCCGUUGGGUGCCUAGCGCACUUUGUGGCGAAGUUAACGCGAUAAGUCGACCGCCUGGGGAGUACGGCCGCAAGGUUAAAACUCAAAUGAAUUGACGGGGGCCCGCACAAGCGGUGGAGCAUGUGGUUUAAUUCGAUGCAACGCGAAGAACCUUACCUACUCUUGACAUCCUGCG